AAAUUGCAAAUAAGCUGGUUCACUUCAGUUCAGAUUGCCACCCAUCAUCCCUUGCAUUUCCCCAUAGCAGCAGAUCAUGGUUACUUGCUAUUCAUUUAUCAAUCCUCCUGUACAGGUACAUUUCAUAUAUUGAUGAGAAGCUCUGAUGCAGUUGAAGAACACUUUGGGGUUUUGGGCUGUUUAUUGUUGCUCCUGAAAGGACUUGAAAUUACAAAUGAAAUAUCUUCGUGCAGAUGGGCGUUAUGUCGAUAUAAUUAAGAUCAAGACUCAUGCCUCUCUAUCAAGGCUCAUGGAUGAGUAUAUUGAGAGAAGGGGAAUGUAAGGUCAUAGCUUGCGGUUUUUCUACAAUGGAAAGUGUAUUACCAAAAGACAUGCAGCCAAGCUUGGACUAGAGAAUGGGGAACAAAUUGAUGCCAUGUUGCAGAUGCAUGGAGGGGGUCGCAAGAUCUUCUAAAUUCCUACUGGCUUAGUGAAGUCAAGUUCAGUUUCUGUCAAAUUUGUACCCAAUCAUCUCCAGUACUUUGUUUUAAGACAUGGAGAGCUGGAUAGGUUCUUAAACUUGCAUUAUGGCAUAACAUGAUUUGAUGUUUGAACUUUCUGUGGAUCAUCAAUGGAAAUGAAUCAGUAGUUUUCUCAGAUUGGAUGUUGCCUGCACGUAAUUGUGCAGUAGCGAAAACAUUGAAGAACACUGUGUUCAGUGUUCAUAAGCGAGCAGUAAUCUUGUGAAGGGAAUAGGAAUACGAAGAGUUGUUGAUUUUGCUUGUCAAAGAACCUUCAUAUUGCAAAUAGGAUGAUGAAACUAAGACAUACAGGGUCACUCUGUUCACGUCGAAUCAGACUCAUUAAGUGUCAUCUCAGGGUGAGCUUAACUGUUUGGACAGAGAUUUCCUCGGACCAUCUUUUGUUCUUCAUCAGCUAUUGUGCCUUGCAGGUUUUGCUAAUCCAUUCACAGGAACCCUUGCCGGCAACGGGCUUGAGUUGACUGAGUCGACUGACCAUUUUCAAUCAUUAAGAAAGCUGUUCAAGGAAGUCCAAGCCGAACUUCAGUUAAAUUUACUAGUGAAUCGCCUGAAGAAAGAUAUGAAUAACCAGACAAUCAAUGAAUGCAUUGAACUGCAAAAAUCUUACACCUCAGAGAACAUCUGAGAGGAAGUUUCAUGACCCUCGUGUGUGUGUAACCAGAAUCCAUGGUAUGCCCACCAUUCUAAACCAGCACCUUUGUAUGCUCAUCAUUCACAUACACAUCAUAAAUGUGUGCCGAAGGAACAAGAUUUCUCAAGUGACUUUAUUUAUUCGUACACAUAUAGAUUCAAAUAUUUGAUAAUUCUAGGAACAAAGACUACAUGGUUCAUGAAAGAUAAAGGUUAAA
This is a long non-coding RNA of Populus trichocarpa (black cottonwood), 1369 nucleotides long. RefSeq lists it as uncharacterized. The transcript is spliced from 4 exons. The record is from RefSeq and is a predicted model, not a curated record. Lineage: Eukaryota; Viridiplantae; Streptophyta; Magnoliopsida; Malpighiales; Salicaceae.